RNAcentral lists this ribosomal RNA (431 nucleotides) under uncultured bacterium. RNAcentral describes it as "bacterial SSU rRNA". It matches the Rfam family "Bacterial small subunit ribosomal RNA", at positions 774 to 1217 of the family's 1533-position model. The record is from RNAcentral.
AGUGAAUAGAUACCCGGGUAGUCCGACGCCGUAAACGAUGGAUGCUAGCUGUUAUUCGUAUCGACCCGAGUAGUAGCGAAAGCUAACGCGUUAAGCAUCCCGCCUGUGGAGUACGGUCGCAAGACUAAAACAUAAAGGAAUUGACGGGGACCCGCACAAGCGGUGGAGCGUGUUGUUUAAUUCGAUGAUAAGCGAAGAACCUUACCAGGGUUUGACAUCCUGCUUAUUUCUCUGGAAGGAGAGAGUGCCUUCGGGCCGCAGUGACAGGUGAUGCAUGGCCGUCGUCAGCUCGUGUCGUGAGAUGUUUGGUUAAGUCCAUCAACGAGCGCAACCCUUGUGACUAGUUGGAUUUUUCUAGUCAGACUGCCCCGGUAACGGGGAGGAAGGAGGGGAUGAUGUCAGGUCAGUAUUUCCCUUACAUCCUGGGCUAC